This is a long non-coding RNA of Apodemus sylvaticus (European woodmouse), 3515 nucleotides long. RefSeq lists it as uncharacterized. NCBI's taxonomy places the organism in Eukaryota, Metazoa, Chordata, Mammalia, Rodentia, Muridae. The transcript is spliced from 4 exons. The record is from RefSeq and is a predicted model, not a curated record.
CCCGAGCAGCCAUGCGGGCGUGAGGACCAGGCAGAGCCUCCGGGGGAGGGAUGUAACUUAUCAAGCUUAUGCCUGGGUCCUAGAUUCCUCCCUGGCACUGCCAAAAAGGAAACAGAACAAAACCACGCUGGGUCAACACCACCCUGCUGCUGACUAGUGAGCUGACCGGACAGCAGAGCUCAGAAGGCAAAGUCAUAAAUGGAGUUGCUGGUCUGUGUGUGUGGAAGCCAGGAGGCAGUGGAGUCUCUGAGCUGGAAGCGAUGAAGCUGUGAGCCACCUGUUACGUGUGGAGUCCUCUGCAAAAGCAACACGUACGUUUAACCAGAGCCACGUCUCCGCUUCUUGGCUGUGUGCGUUUUGUUUUUGCACUACCUCUCUGUGCCAGAGGAAGCCAGAAGAGGGUGUCAGAAUCUCUGAGACUGGAUUUACAGUUGUAUGAAACCGUGAGUGCUGGGAAUUGACCCAGAAUCCUCUGGAAGAAUCUUUCCAGCUGAGCCAUCUCCCCAACCCCUGCUUCUCGAUAACCCUAAUCAAAAGUUUAAUACUGGAAGUCAGCAGUGCGAGCCUGGAACUCCCAUCCUGAGUUUCUCCCUGAGAGAAGGUGGUUCAGCUGCAGAAGCCUCAAUCUGCUAAAGAGCCUGUCCCUGCUGCCUCUUAAAGCCAAAAUCUUGGGACACUCGGUGGCAAAAUGUCCUGAUAUUAAAGUGUCAGCCAUUCUUCAAGAUGGGGAUCUGACACCUUCUGGCAACAGGCAUUCAUAUGUUUCACAGACCUAAGUGCAGGACCUGAGCAGUCAUUUCUGUGAAGACGCAACAGCCCUGUCAGCUAGCUGACCACAUUGGGGCAGAUGGCAAGUGUGAAGAGAGGGUCAGCGUGGGAAUAAGUCAGUGCCCUGGCCGGAUGGCUGUGGCUGUGGCCCUGGGGAUGUUACAUACAGGAAGGGUGUGUGCAUCUCACACUUGCCUUGAUCAAUCCUAUAUGCCUCUCGGCUGCACACACCUUUCUGAGAUAGGCAUCCAUACACAUAAAAGAAAAACCAAUAAAUUAAUGAGAGAGAAUUCACUGAAUAUUAGUGGCUUCUACUUGUAAUCCCAGGACUUGAAACCUCAACCUUCAAAUAGUGGGACUACAUAAAUUGUCAUAAGCCUGAAGCCAGCCCUCACUAAAGUGGCCCUAUCUCAAAACCAAAACUCAAAACCCCCAAAGAAAAAAAGGAGGGCAGGGAUGUAGUUCAGCUGGCACCUGCCUAGGACCCAGAGCACAGGGUAAGUGGCAAUUGGGAAGUAGAGGUGGGAAAAACAGGAAACCGAGUGUAUUUGGCUAGAAAGCAAAUUCUGCAUCUGCUUGGGACUAAAUGAGAGUCUCAAAUGAAAAACCCAAACCAAAUCAAUCAAGCUAAGAAGGACCCAUAGGAGCUGAAAGCCAGGGCAGAAGGGAGCCUUGGUUGGCUGAAAGGCAGAAAGAAAGAAGGGCGAUGGAUCUGGAAAAGCACAUCAAAGUUAGAGAUGCAUACAAACUCUCUUUAAGCAACUUUCCAGGCAGGGUCCAAGGCCUGCGUGCUUCCAGAGUGGCCCUGCAAGACCCCACGUCAGCUAGGAUUCCAAUCCCCCAGACCCAGUGAACCCAGUCUUAUGUUACUGGGAUACCCUAAUGACACAGGUAUACAGUCAAGGUCUCCGACCACUAUUCUGGCUGGCUUUCAAUCUUGAGUGCAUCAUGAAACUCAGUCUCUUUAAGGCAGGUUUUGUAUAACCCAGAAACCCAGUAAGAGGCUGUCCAGACCGGCAGGAGCUUGUUUGUUGACUGUUGCAGAAGCUGAUGGGCUAUCAUGUAUUAGUAGACUUAGAUAGAAAGGGAUUACAGUUUUGAUGUGUCAGGGCUAGUGCAGAGAAAAUGGGAAGCUCACCUGGACAGAGACUAAUCAGAGACAGAGCAGGAGGCCUAGAUCAGGGUGGACAAUAAGGAAGUUCCUCAGCUUUGCUGUUUCUUCCCAGGCAUAGAACAGAAGACAUCUGUUACCAUUUAGCCAGCAACAUAAUCUGGAUUCCAUAGUUCUUCAGGAGAUAGUAGUGCUAUCUAUCUAUCCACUAGGUACGAAGGCAAAAUUCAGCUCAGAUCAGAAAGGAGUAAAGCCCUAGAUUUGAUGCCAGGCCCUUCCUCUAUGGGAGUGCUCUUAAAACUCUGCAGCACAUCACCACAGGGGUGUCUCAUAUCAGGGGGCCCGACCCUUCAUGGAUUGAUCAGACAGAAUGAGGGAGGUGUCAGAACCUACAUUUUAAACAGUUCUAGGUGAUGUUUAUUUGUUCAUAAUAUCGGUCCCCAUCUCACAGACACAACAGGUCAGAACUGGCCUGUGCAUUGAUGUCUGUCCAAGGCAAAUGGUGUGACUACACCAAGAACCACCCUGCUGCAGUCUUCACCCCCUUCGCCUCUGGCUAAGGACUGUUCUCUUCCAGUACCUUACUGUAGGCCAGUUCCCUGCAAUGUUUUCCCCUCUUUACUAACUCUGAGUAAAGGACAGUAGUCUUUCCCUUUAUAUUCUGAAUGAGCAGGCAAAGUACCAGACAGAUGCUGCCCAUCAGUCUGCCUUACCUCAAGUGGAUUCAGCAAACUACACCAAAUACAUGGGGGAGGGGAGGGAGGAUUCUGUGCUGAGUAUGCACAUUUUCUCUUGUCAAAGUACCAAAUAGUACAGCUUAACAACUAGACACUUAGAGAUAACAAUACACAGGAACAUGUGCAUGGAUGAUAUGCAGGUAACAGGUAUACAGGGGAUAAAGUACACAGGGGACUUUAGCACUAGGACUUAGCACAGAGUCCUGAACCAAUCCCUCUGGGCACCAAGGGCAGCUGUACUUACUGACAAGGUGGUUAGGAGUCACUCCGCAGGCCAGGCUGCGCUGGAUCUUGUCUUUGCCUUCCUAUAAAGACUUAACUCCUUCCUACAGUUAAGACUCUUGAUACAAUCUGAGGAGCUGGCUUCACUGCUUCAAACAACUCUGUCUAGCUUUAACUGGCCAGACUAGGACGACUGGUCCUAUGUGGGCAGAAAUGAGCUGACAGGAUUCUAGGAGCAAGUUGUGGUUUUCCACUCCUCAUAUGGUCUCAAGACACCUGAAUUAAAAUUCGUGUCAUGGAGGCAGAGGGGCAGGGACUCCAACAUACAAUAGCUCAAUCUGGGCAUUUCCCAGCUGCCUUCUUGGCUGCUCCUGCAUAGUUCACUUUGCACUGAAAGCUUUUGCUAAAGCUGCCUCAGGAAACUAGAGGAGUGAGCCCUGUCAGCACAAAGGAGACUGAAACAAAUGCACAAACACUGUCCUUUCAAAAGCUCAAGGAACGGAAUCCAGGGCAACAGAUGAGCAAGGCCAAACUACCAGAGCGAAGUGGGGGGUGAGGACAGUGAAGUCUGGGCAGGCAGGCAGUGGCAGCAUCGGUGCUCAGGGCUCGGCUACCCUUGGCCGAGCUGGGUUUACAGCCACCCAGGAGAAAAGAGGCACAGCCAUAGCCACCACAUA